GACGAACGCUGGCGGCGUGCUUAACACAUGCAAGUCGAACGGAAAGGCCCUUUUGGGGGUCCUUUACGGGCGGACGGGGGCGGAAGACGGGAGUAACCUGCCCUUUACUUCGUGAUAACGUCAGGAAACUGGGGCUAAUACCGGUAAGGCAUCAUUGCUGCAUGGUGGGGGUUGGAAAGCUUCUGCGGUUUUGGGUGGAUUCGCGGGGUAACGGCUUGUUGGUGGGAUAGUGGGUUACCGAGGCAUUGACGGGUAGCCGGACUGUGAGUGUGAGAGGCCGCAUUGGGACUGAGAGACGGCACAGACUCCUACGGGAGGCAGAAGGGGGGAAUCUUGCACAAUGGGCGGAAGCCGGGUGAAGAAACGCCGCGUGCGGGAAGACGGUCUUGGGGUUGUAAAACGGUUUCAGCAGGAGCGAAGCUUGUGGUGACGGUACCUGAAGAAGAAGCACCGGCUAACUACGUG
This 465-nucleotide ribosomal RNA is filed under the name uncultured bacterium. Its description in RNAcentral is "partial 16S ribosomal RNA". It matches the Rfam family "Bacterial small subunit ribosomal RNA", at positions 28 to 507 of the family's 1533-position model. The record is from RNAcentral.